RNAcentral lists this ribosomal RNA (368 nucleotides) under uncultured soil bacterium. RNAcentral describes it as "bacterial SSU rRNA". It matches the Rfam family "Bacterial small subunit ribosomal RNA", at positions 26 to 390 of the family's 1533-position model. The record is from RNAcentral.
AGAUUGAACGCUGGCGGCAGGCCUAACACAUGCAAGUCGAGCGGCAGCACGGGUACUUGUACCUGGUGGCGAGCGGCGGACGGGUGAGUAAUGCCUAGGAAUCUGCCUGGUAGUGGGGGAUAACGCUCGGAAACGGACGCUAAUACCGCAUACGUCCUACGGGAGAAAGCAGGGGACCUUCGGGCCUUGCGCUAUCAGAUGAGCCUAGGUCGAUUAGCUAGUUGGUGAGGUAAUGGCUCAUCAAGGCGACGAUCCGUAAUGGUCUGAGAGGAUGAUCAGUCACUACUGGAACUGGAGACACGGUCCAGACCUCCGUACGGGAGCAGCAGGUAGGGAAUGUGGAACAGUCGGGACAACGCCUAGACUCC